Molecule: long non-coding RNA, 660 nt
Organism: Drosophila biarmipes
Lineage: Eukaryota; Metazoa; Arthropoda; Insecta; Diptera; Drosophilidae
Exons: 3
Source: RefSeq, a predicted model, not a curated record
UAUUAUUUUGCUUGUUUAUUUGUUGUUUAUACCCCUAAUUGAAUUGUUUAGAAAGGCCGAGCCAAGAUCCUUUGUUUUCAUGCGACUUGGAGAGGAGUUUUUGAGAGGAUGCCAAAAAUAACGCAGUGGAAUAAAUUUACCUUGGCUCAUCCAUCAACAUUUUCCCCAGCCGACAACAUCGGAGAAAUUCUCAUUGGAAAUUCGAGACACUGCAAGAAGCCAUUGAAAAUAGCAUCCUAACAUCAGUAAACAAUCUGCAUUUUCAGUUACAAGACAAUGCAUAUAGCCAGGCCAGCCAAAGGAUAUAAGCAUUGCCUGCAGGACCUGCGUGUGUGCCUUCCAAGGAAUCUUAUGCUGCACACAUGACUGAACUCGAGGAUGGGGAAAAAUUGGUCUGGGGAGUUUCGAGGAGUCGGUGUGGAGGAGAGGAGUCUCCGCAGUCUGGCGUCCUGGCGACGAUUCAACUAAAGCUCAGACAGCCUUAAAUUUUGAUAUAUUUGCAUGCUGCAUCAAAAUGGCCAAGCACACAAUGCGGGAAAUCUUCGGUAAUGAACUUUAAUGGUGUCGCCAUAAAAUAUUCGACAUAUGCAGAAUGCUUCCACAAGAAAUGGUCCAUACUAAGAGCAUAAAAUAAGUUUAUAAUUAUUGCGAUUAAAAUUA